RNAcentral lists this ribosomal RNA (1501 nucleotides) under metagenome. Its description in RNAcentral is "bacterial SSU rRNA". It matches the Rfam family "Bacterial small subunit ribosomal RNA". The record is from RNAcentral.
CUGGCGGCGUGGAUAAGACAUGCAAGUCGAACGCCAAUUGCGAAGUAGCAAUAUUUUGCAGUUGGAGUGGCGAAAGGGUGCGUAACACGUGGGUAAUUUGCCAUGAAGUGGGGGAUAACCCCGAGAAAUCGGGGCUAAUACCGCAUGUGACUGCUGGGGGGGGCAUCCUCUGGCAUUCAAAGUUGGGGACCGAAAGGCCUGAUGCUUCGUGAUAAGCCCGCGGCCUAUCAGCUAGUUGGUGAGGUAACGGCCCACCAAGGCUAAGACGGGUAGCUGGUCUGAGAGGACGACCACUCACACUGGAACUGAGACACGGUCCAGACACCUACGGGUGGCAGCAGUCGAGAAUUUUUCUCAAUGGGCGAAAGCCUGAAGGAGCGACGCCGCGUGGGGGAUGAAGGGCUUCGGCUCGUAAACCCCUGUCAUUUGCGAACAAACCUGCUAACCUAACACGUUAGCAGCUGAUAGUAGCGAAAGAGGAAGGGACGGCUAACUCUGUGCCAGCAGCCGCGGUAAUACAGAGGUCCCAAGCGUUGUUCGGAUUCACUGGGCGUAAAGGGUGCGUAGGUGGCGGGGUAAGUUUGGUGUGAAAUCUCCAGGCCCAACUUGGAAACUGCACUGAAUACUAUUCCGCUUGAGGAUCGGAGGGGAGACUGGAAUUCUCGGUGUAGCAGUGAAAUGCGUAGAUAUCGAGAGGAACACCAGUGGCGAAGGCGAGUCUCUGGACGAUCCCUGACGCUGAGGCACGAAAGCUAGGGGAGCAAACAGGAUUAGAUACCCUGGUAGUCCUAGCCCUAAACGGUGCACGUUUGCUGUGGGCGGAAUCGACCCCGUCCGUGGCGUAGCUAACGCGUUAAACGUGCCGCCUGGGAAGUACGGCCGCAAGGUUAAAACUCAAAGAAAUUGACGGGGGCCUGCACAAGCGGUGGAGUAUGUGGCUUAAUUCGAUACAACGCGAAGAACCUUACCUGGCCUUGACAUGUGGGUAGUAGAAGGAUGAAAGUCUGACGAGGUAGCAAUACCAGCCUACACAGGUGCUGCAUGGCUGUCGUCAGCUCGUGUCGUGAGAUGUUGGGUUAAGUCCCGCAACGAGCGCAACCCUCGUGUCCUGUUGCCACUCCUGCGAGAGCAGGAAGCACUCCGGACAGACUGCCUCAUUUAAAUGAGGAGGAAGGUGGGGAUGACGUCAAGUCAGGAUGGCCCUUACGGCCAGGGCUGCACACGUACUACAAUGCUCGGUACAAAGAGACGCGAUACCGCAAGGUGGAGCAAAUCUCCCAAAACCGAGCCCAGUUCAGAUUGUCGGCUGCAACUCGCCGACAUGAAGCUGGAAUCGCUAGUAAUGGCGCAUCAGCUACGGCGCCGUGGAUACGUUCCCAGGCCUUGUACACACCGCCCGUCACAUCAUGAAAGCUGGUUGUACCCGAAGUCAGUGCGCCAACCGCAAGGAGGCAGCUGCCGAAGGUAUGGCUGGUGAUUGGGAUGAAGUCGGAACAAGGUA